AGUGAACGCUGGCGGUAGGCCUAACACAUGCAAGUCGAACGGCAGCACAGUAAGAGCUUGCUCUUACGGGUGGCGAGUGGCGGACGGGUGAGGAAUACAUCGGAAUCUACUUUUUCGUGGGGGAUAACGUAGGGAAACUUACGCUAAUACCGCAUACGACCUACGGGUGAAAGCAGGGGAUUUUCGGACCUUGCGCGAUUGAAUGAGCCGAUGUCGGAUUAGCUAGUUGGCGGGGUAAAGGCCCACCAAGGCGACGAUCCGUAGCUGGUCUGAGAGGAUGAUCAGCCACACUGGAACUGAGACACGGUCCAGACUCCUACGGGAGGCAGCAGUGGGGAAUAUUGGACAAUGGGCGCAAGCCUGAUCCAGCCAUACCGCGUGGGUGAAGAAGGCCUUCGGGUUGUAAAGCCCUUUUGUUGGGAAAGAAAAGCAGCAGGUUAAUACCCCGCUGUUCUGACGGGACCCAAAGAAGAAGCACCGGCUAACUUCGU
RNAcentral lists this ribosomal RNA (491 nucleotides) under uncultured bacterium. RNAcentral describes it as "partial 16S ribosomal RNA". It matches the Rfam family "Bacterial small subunit ribosomal RNA", at positions 29 to 506 of the family's 1533-position model. The record is from RNAcentral.